CGGCGGUAAAGGAUGGGCAUGCGUGACAUUAGCUAGUUGGUGAGGUAACGGCUCACCAAGGCUACGAUGUCUAGGGGUUCUGAGAGGAAGAUCCCCCACACUGGUACUGAGACACGGACCAGACUCCUACGGGAGGCAGCAGUGAGGAAUAUUGGUCAAUGGGCGAGAGCCUGAACCAGCCAUCCCGCGUGCAGGAAGAAUGCCCUAUGGGUUGUAAACUGCUUUUUCGCAUGAAGAACACCCCUGACGUGUCAGGGGCUGACGGUAAUGCGUGAAUAAGCACCGGCUAACUCCGUGCCAGCAGCCGCGGUAAUACGGAGGGUGCAAGCGUUAUCCGGAUUUAUUGGGUUUAAAGGGUGCGUAGGCGGCGAAUUAAGUCAGUGGUGAAAUCCUGCAGCUCAACUGUAGAACAGCCAUUGAAACUGAUUUGCUUGAGUAAUCUUGAGGUAGGCGGAAUGUGUAGUGUAGCGGUGAAAUGCUUAGAUAUUACACAGAACACCGAUUGCGAAGGCAGCUUACUAAGGAUUUACUGACGCUGAUGCACGAAAGCGUGGGGAUCAAACAGGAUUAGAUACCCUGGUAGUCCACGCCGUAAACGAUGAUAACUCGCUGUUGGCGAUACACAGUCAGCGGCUUAGCGAAAGCG
Molecule: ribosomal RNA, 646 nt
Filed under: uncultured bacterium
Lineage: Bacteria
Description: bacterial SSU rRNA
Rfam family: Bacterial small subunit ribosomal RNA
Source: RNAcentral